RNAcentral lists this ribosomal RNA (260 nucleotides) under uncultured bacterium. RNAcentral's name for it is "partial 16S ribosomal RNA". It matches the Rfam family "Bacterial small subunit ribosomal RNA", at positions 524 to 776 of the family's 1533-position model. The record is from RNAcentral.
GACAGAGGCCUCGAGCGUUAGGCGGAAUUACUGGGCGUAAAGCGUGCGCAGGCGGUUGUGCAAGACAGAUGUGAAAUCCCCGGGCUUAACCUGGGAAUUGCAUUUGUGACUGCACGGCUAGAGUGUGUUAGAGGGGGGGUAGAAUUCCACGUGUAGCAGUGAAAAUGCGUAGAUAUGUGGAGGAAUACCGAAUGGCGAAGGCAGCCCCCCUGGGAUAACACUGACGCUCAUGCACGAAAAGCGUGGGGGAGCAAAACAGG